This 253-nucleotide ribosomal RNA is filed under the name uncultured bacterium. RNAcentral describes it as "partial 16S ribosomal RNA". It matches the Rfam family "Bacterial small subunit ribosomal RNA", at positions 524 to 776 of the family's 1533-position model. The record is from RNAcentral.
UACGUAGGGUGCAAGCGUUAAUCGGAAUUACUGGGCGUAAAGCGUGCGCAGGCGGUUUUGUAAGUCUGACGUGAAAGCCCCGGGCUUAACCUGGGAAUUGCGUUGGAGACUGCAAGGCUGGAGUCUGGCAGAGGGGGGUAGAAUUCCACGUGUAGCAGUGAAAUGCGUAGAGAUGUGGAGGAACACCGAUGGCGAAGGCAGCCCCCUGGGUCAAGACUGACGCUCAUGCACGAAAGCGUGGGGAGCAAACAGG